GUUUUCUGAGACUGCAUCCACUUUGAGAGUUUCUACUGAGUCCAAAUUAGAACACCCCAGCUGGCGGACUGUCUCCUAGGAAGCCCUCGGAGAGGAGCAGUGCAUAGGGGGCACCUGGACACCCCCCGCCCCGAGUAAUGUCAGGCAGCCUUGUCUAUUUACAUCUUUUCACCCUUUCUCGGGAAGCUAUCAGACGAUGUGCUCCCCCAGAAGUAGUCCCAGGAAAAAGGAGACAUGGGAUACAGGGAUCCUGAACCCGGGGGAGGACAAGGGAGUUCCUGGGAGGACAGCUGUGCUCCCGCCUAGCAAUAGCGAGCAGCCAGUCCAGACUGCGGCUGUGACUCAGAAGACAGACAUGCGGAGGGUUAUGAUCACAGAGUAACGAUGGUCCUUGUACAUGAUAAAAAUGCUCGGGUGUGCCCAGGUUAAAGAAGAUGAAAGGCCCUGCUUCCCAGAGCGCCCGGGGUCACUGACCAUCUCUUCCAGGUCUGUUUCCACCCACUGCAGCCGUGACGGAGUCUUGCUCUGUUGCCCAGGCUAGAAUGCAAUGGCGUGAUCUUGGCUAACCACAACUUCCACCUCCCAGGUUCAAGUGAUUAUCCUGCCACACCCAGCUAAUUUUGUCUUUUUAGUAGAGACGAGAUUUCACCAUGUUGGCCAGGCUGGUCUCGAACUCCUGAUAUUGUGAUCAGCCCACCUCAGCCUCCCAAAGUUCUAGGAUUACAGGCGUGAGCCACUGUGCCCGGCCUACCUGGAGCAUUAUUUAAACCUUAAACCU
Long non-coding RNA from Rhinopithecus roxellana (golden snub-nosed monkey), 778 nucleotides. RefSeq lists it as uncharacterized. Lineage: Eukaryota; Metazoa; Chordata; Mammalia; Primates; Cercopithecidae. The record is from RefSeq and is a predicted model, not a curated record. The transcript is spliced from 2 exons.